Molecule: long non-coding RNA, 527 nt
Organism: Trichechus manatus latirostris (Florida manatee)
Lineage: Eukaryota; Metazoa; Chordata; Mammalia; Sirenia; Trichechidae
Exons: 4
Source: RefSeq, a predicted model, not a curated record
GUCCUGGGCUGGCUGUGUUCUCUCUGCCGACUGACUGCUAGCUGCGUGGAAGAUAGCCUGAAUGUAGAGAAAUUGGCCCUGCUCCUAGUUGGAGGGUGGACCAAAAAUGUUGGGGCCAUUUCCUGAGGUGUGGAGGGUGCUGAGCAGAAGCCGACCUUGAAGGGCAAGAAAUCAAGUCUGCAAUGCUGCAAGUAUGUUGGAAUUCAUGGAUAAAAUGAGCCAAGGCAAGGAACAUCUUACUGGUUUUUGAUAGGGGGGAAAACCUUCUCUCCCUCUACAUUGACUCACUGUCCACCCUGCACUCUGCCUCGGAAGCUGAUCCAUCUGGACUAUAUCAACAGAUUCCCUUGCCCCUUGCUUCUGAUUGGCUUGGCCAAUGGGAGAUCUGGCAAGAGAUCAAAGGAGGGACCUGGGUGAGAGAUGCUGAUGGAUAAACGGCUCUAAAAUCCAGCUCUUAUGAUUUACAAACCCAUGCUUUUUCCAUAAUUUGAUAUAAAAACAGAUUAACUACUAGCUAAAAAAGACAC